This 635-nucleotide ribosomal RNA is filed under the name uncultured bacterium. RNAcentral describes it as "bacterial SSU rRNA". It matches the Rfam family "Bacterial small subunit ribosomal RNA", at positions 539 to 1170 of the family's 1533-position model. The record is from RNAcentral.
CGUUACUCGGAAUCACUGGGCGUAAAGAGAAUGUAGGCGGGUUGAUAAGUUUGAAGUGAAAUCCAAUGGCUCAACCAUUGAACUGCUUUGAAAACUAUUAACCUAGAAUAUGGGAGAGGUAGAUGGAAUUUCUGGUGUAGGGGUAAAAUCCGUAGAGAUCAGAAAGAAUACCGAUUGCGAAGGCGAUCUACUGGAACAUUAUUGACGCUCAGAUUCGAAAGCGUGGGGAGCAAACAGGAUUAGAUACCCUGGGUAGUCCACGCCCUAAACGAUGCACACUAGUUGUUGCCAUGCUAGACAUGGCAGUAAUGCAGUUAACACAUUAAGUGUGCCGCCUGGGGAGUACGGUCGCAAGAUUAAAACUCAAAGGAAUAGACGGGGACCCGCACAAGCGGUGGAGCAUGUGGUUUAAUUCGACGAUACGCGAAGAACCUUACCUGGCCUUGACAUAGACAGAACAUAACAGAGAUGUAUUGGUGCUAGUUUACUAGAGCUGUCAUACAGGUGCUGCACGGCUGUCGUCAGCUCGUGUCGUGAGAUGUUGGGUUAAGUCCCGCAACGAGCGCAACCCUCGUGUUUAGUUACUAACAGUUCGGCUGAGGACUCUAGACAGACUGCCUGGGUAACCAGGAGGA